UUAUAUUGCUUUAAGAAUGGUCAAAAACUU
This 30-nucleotide non-coding RNA is filed under the name Rattus norvegicus (Norway rat). The record is from RNAcentral. Lineage: Eukaryota; Metazoa; Chordata; Mammalia; Rodentia; Muridae.